CGUGACUCCCAAGCGCCAGCGGCUUCGUGCGGGCUUCUCGGUUGAGCCGGGCGUUCUCCCUCACGUCGCCGGUGAGGAGGCGGUACUUGGUGCCCUUGAGGCCCUGGGCCCGUAGGGCUCGGUCUAGCCGCCGUGGCGUCCACCACGCCCACUCCAGUGUCCAGGCGACCAGCCACAGCAGCGCCACGGACGCCGCCGCGCCGACCAGCGCCCACGGAGAGGUUUCCCGCAGUAUCAGCAGAACGCUGGUCACCAUUGGUGCAGUGGAAGAGAAGCAGAGGAAAGGCAGAGGCAUGUGCCGGGCGAUGUGUGUGAAUGUGUGAUUGCGGCGAGUCCUUGUAGGCGAUGGAGCUGACCGCUGACCGCUGACCACUGACACGUGUGCUUAAGUCUCCGCGAGCAAAUCCAUUGAGGUCUAAAAAAACCAAAAACCUUUCAAAAUUUCUCGUCGCAUCCAAUCUUGCGACAUAUACAUAGAGUAUUAAAUAUAGACGUAAACAAAAAUUAAAUAUACAGUUUAUCUAUAAAUCAUAAGAUAAAUCUUUUAAGUCUAAUUAAUUUAUUAUUAGAUAAUAUUUGCCAAAUAAAAACGAAAAUACUACAGUACUCAAAACAAAAAAAAUUCAGAACUAAACAAAGCCUUAGGUGAAAUUUGAACUGUAACUAGUGCAAACUAAAAAAUAAAUGAAGUUUAGCACUUGUAAAAAAAACUGCCUGACAGCAGAAACACUUUACCAAACUUAGUAUAAACUAUUAUUAUUAUUUUUUCUUAUUAUCAAAGUAGAUUUUUCCUUUCAGUGAUGUGUACCAAGUCAUCAGUAACUAAUCCUGUGAAGAGACGAGGUCGUGGCGUUGGAAGGGGAAGCAUUUACAGGAACUAAUCCCGUGAUUAAUGAGUGGCAGGGUGGGUAAGUACCUCACCAUGUGGAAGUAUCAAACUUCAAAAACUGGAGUACCCCUUGAGGUACUCCAGGAAAAACAUAGAGCUGGCCUCUAGCUCCACCUUUUUUGUGGAGCGGAGUUCGUGGAGCUAGACGUGUUUGGCAACCCAGAGCUGGAGCGGAGCAGUCCCAAACACCCCUAAGUACGAACCUACUAACUCUUCUUUGGUGCAUCCAUCAUCCAUGUCAUCAUUCACUAGUUUAGCAAAUUACUUGGACCGUCAACUGGCAUAGUUGAAUUGCUUGAUGAAAUCAAAUGGUCAUUCAUUUUGGCUUUGUUGCUCCAUCAUUAUUGUUUCCUCUUUCACCACCUCCCCUCACAUUAUUCUUCUCUUUUUAAGAUGGGAGGUCACGCACUAUUAUAGAAGCAACGCCACCCCCACCAAUUUUUUAUAUGGAACACACACAUAUCAAAAUUGAAACUUUAAAUUGUUUGACCAAUAAUUUGACUAACAGUUUUUAACUAUAAUAAUACAAACUUUAUAAAGUUAAAUUUGUUAUCAAAUAUACUAUCCAACUAUUAUAAGCUCAUAAACAUAAACAAUAUAAUAUAAAAUAAAUAAAUGAUCGUGUGCCUCAUAAAAGAAAACAUAAGUAUUAUUCAUAGAUAUUAGGGCAUCUCCAAGAGUCUUUCUAAAAUUACUCUAAAUCAUCAUUUGGAGAGAUAUUUGAGUAAAUGUUAUUUUCUAUAUCUUUGUAUCCAACAACUUUUCUAUGCAUUGCACGCACUCUAGAGAGCCAUCCUCGUUAUCCAUCUUUGGCUAGUGAAAAAUACGAAAUAGAGAAUGUCUAUAUUUGGAGAUCCAAUUAAUGAGGUUGUUGGAAUUUUCUUAAUUAAAAUCUAUAUCCUAUAAAUUAGGAAGGAUAUAAAGAAUCCCUUAGAGAUGCUCUUAGCGGUAACUAUUGUUGAUGUUUUCUAAGGUUGUAGCCCGUGUAAGAGCACGUGUUGAUAGGUUAGUUUAUAUAGUUAAUCAGGUGAUAAUUACUUCUCCAUCCUUAUAAUAGUGUAUUAGAAUUUAAGAUUUUCAAUUUUUUUAGUUUUAACCAAACAUUAGUCAAGUUGUAUGCACAUCUUUAACAUAUCAAAAAAUAAUAGCUUUUGCGUUUGAAUAUCAUCUACUCCUCCAUUGACUGUUGUUUACAUCAAUUUUACUAUAUGUAUCUACAUAUAAUGUAUGUCUAUAUAUAACAAAAUCUAUGUAACAAAAAAGUCAAAGUGAUAUAACUUAGGCCUUGUUUAGAUGCGAAAAGAUUUUGGAUUUUGCUACUGUAGCACUUUCGUUUGUUUGUGGUAAAUAUUGUCCAAUUAUAGAUUAACUAGAAUCAAAAGAUUCGUCUCGCGAUUUACAGGUAAACUGUGCAAUUAGUUUUUAUUUUUGUUUAUAUUUAAUGCUUCAUGCAUGUGUCGAAAAAUUUGAUGUGACGGGAAAUCUUGAAAAUUUUUUGGUUUUCGGGAUGAACUAAACAAGGUCUUAGAAAGAGGAACCAGUAUAAUAUUGACCUUUCAGCGAUUGGUAAUAUAUAUAUACAGGAAGAAAAAUGAAAAGCCAAAUGUAUAUACUCCUACAUGCAAAGACUACUUUCGAGUACUAGUGCACCCUAUAAAAAAGAACUACAUAUUGUAUAAUUAAGUUCUUUGCCAAAUCUUCACAAAAUUGCAUCGCAGUAACAGUAACCUAUUCCCUAUUAAUACACACCCUCUUUUUAUUAUUCAUAUUCUAACCUACGUAUUAAUACAAAACAACUACUUCCCCCGAUCCAAGUUGUAAGACGUUCUGACAUAGUUGGAUCCGGGAGUAUUCGGUAGCAGCGUAGGAGCUGCUGCUGCUGCCACUGCCAGCGAGCAUAUGAGCAUCACAGUCAGAGCUUUUUCAGCCUUAUCUGAGCACCGUGCUGAGGGUGCAGUGUUAUCACGGUGUAGGGCGCGUGGGUGUAGGAUGGCGAGAGCUCAAAGGAGAAGCGCUGGAGGAUGGUGCAUAGCGCCAUCUUGGCUUCCAGCAACGCAAAGCUCUGGCCGAUGCAGAUCCUGGGCCCCCCUCCAAACGGAAAGAAAGCCGCCUGAUGCCUGGUGGCGUUGGAGAUGCCAUUGGCAAACCUCUCUGGAUUGAACUCACUUGCGUCUUUUCCCCAAAUGUCGGGAUCAUGGUGAAUGAAGAUGAUGGGCAGAAGAAGGUUCACUCCUGCAGGAUAUUUAAUUCCACCGAGCUCCAUUUCCUUAUAAGUUCUUCUGGUUAGAAAGGUUGCCGGUGGGUAUAACCUGAGGACCUCAUGUAGAAUCAUGGUUACCUGCACAUAUAUGACAUAGGACCAAAUUGUUGAUUCAGUUAUACGGUAUGGAAAACACUGGCUUAUUUAGUUUUCCUCAAAGAAUGUUCCAGUUUAACACUUGGCAGCAUUUUUGUCCACAUCAUCCUUUCAGCAUAUUCAGACUCAGAAAUGGAUAACAUAUGGCAUAUAUAUAAAUGUAUCACUGAGACUUAACCAUGACUACUUUGGAUUUAAACCCGCAGUUCUCCACUAGAAUCACAUUAUGAGGUUUAUGUUAAUUAGCUACUAUUGAAUUGAAUAAAAACAAACCAUUUCUAUUUACUUAAUCUCUUUUUACUUAGUCUCCAUUAAUUUGAUAAAGGAAUGGAUAUCACAUAUCCCUUUAGUAAUUCGAUUAAAAAUAUCCCUUUAGUAAUCUGCAAUUUUGGAAUCUUGCAAUAAAGUAGAACAUGGAUUUCACACUUACAAUCUUCAGGCGGCUCAAGCUAUCAAAAUCUGGUCUGGUUCUCCCAAAGUGGCUCAACACUUCUUCUCUUGCUCGCUCUUGCCAUUCUGGGUGCAUGCUUAGCACAAUAAGUGUCCAAGUAAGCAGGACUGAUGUUGUCUCCAUACCUGCAAAGUAAAAUAGCUUGCAUUCCUCAAUCACAUCUUCUGUUGUCAGUCCCAGGCUUGCAUUUCCAUUUGAUUGCCUUGUGUUUGACUCCAGUAAUAAGCCCAGCAAGUCAUCAUUAUUUGUUUCGCCAUUUCUAGUAGCCUUCUCUCUUUUCCCAAUUAUUUCACGGAGAAUUUUGCGGAUCUCUAGAUCGAUUUCUUUCAUCCUUCUGUUGUUUUUGGUGGGCAAGAACCUGCAUAUGCUCAACAGCGUUAUCACAGAAGACUUGCAUUCUGCUAUUCUGAAUUCUUCAUAAAAAUCUUUUCUUUCCAUUUGACACAGCAAUCAAUCUAGUACUAAAAACGCCAACAAUCCUAAAAAAUAUUGUUUUAUGACGAAUUAUAGUUAUAAAAACAAGGAGAGGACUGAGGAGUAAUCGAUAAAAUAAAUCUUCAUGUAUUCAAAUGCUUGGAUACACAAUUGCACAUGAAUAAAACUUUGGUUCUGUUUAGUAGAGGAAAACGUAACAAACCAAUAGCCUGGGAUAAAUAUUGUCUGAAUAGACUGAAUAAGGCGUUCAGCUAGUUCUCCUUGCAGCUGGAAAAUUCUCCUCCCUUCUUGAUAGUUGCUGCCAAAAGCGGUUCUUGAGAUAACAUCUCCAGUAAGAUUCUGGAACUCAGGCCAGACAUCUAUCUCAGAAGAUCCCUCAGAAGGCAUUGAAUUCUCCCAUCUAAUAAUCGUUUCAAUACAACAGGUCGAAAAUACUGGCAGCAUCCGCUGUGAAUUAAACAAUCACCAAUAGUAUAUUUAGGGAACUGCUAUCCAAUAUACAACACAAAUCCAAUGUGAAAUAGUAAAAAAAGUAAAAUCCAUUUAUAGAACGAUCAGCUAAAAGAAUUACCUUUAUUUUCUCAUGGUGAAAGGCAGGAUUAAGAAUUCUCCUGUGCUUUGCCCAUUUUUCACCAUCAUGAUUUACUACCCCAUUGGCUAGCAACUUCCCAAUGCGGCUGCUCCGUGGUUUGCCAAAGUGGCCAAACUUAUUAGACAACACCUCUUUGACUAACUCCGGGUCUGGAAUCAUCACCCUUGGUGUUGGGCCGAACCAAGUGAAAGAUAAUUUCCCUGCAGUUGAGUUUCGGAAACAGGAUUAGUCUAAAGAAGUGAGAAGAGUAGAAGAUAAACGUAUUUUCUGUUUCUUUCAUUCAAUUUUGUUAAUAAAAUAGUCAUCCUAUCAAGUACAAUGUACAUAAAUAUCCCGUUACUGCUACAUAAUCUUUACAGAACAUCAAGCGUCCUACUACUUGAUAGGAGGGGAAAUGAUUAAUCAUGCAGUGCUGCAUUAAGGUAUCAUAUUUACUCUGCCACACCCAUGUCGUCGGUUAUUCAAUUUUUCAGCUGCGCACCAAGGCAUUUUUCAAACGUUAACAAAUCACAAGGCCCAGAUAACUGUACUGCUAAAGUAAAUUAAAAAAAAAAACUAUUUUUCCCCAUCGGGGAUCCUGUAUAUGUGUGCCCAUUUUCGGAGUUCAGGAACAACAUCCAUCGUAACAAUUGCAGUAAAGUAUGAUGCAUCGCUAUUGACGUGCGUGUUUUCAUAUCAGGAAAAUGAAAUGAAAACCAAAAGGUGUAAAGUUUGGGUAGCAGGUUGAUUGGAACACAUAGGAUCAAUACCGUAUUCCUUCAUGGCGCUGUGAAGCAUGGGCUGCACGCGGGGGGCGAUGUCGUGGCAGCCGAGCGGCAGCGGGUUCUUGCGGGCCUCCCGGUUAACCCGGGCGGUCUCCCUCAGGUCGCCGGUGAAGAGGCGGUACCUGGUGCCCUUGAGGCCCUGGGCCCGCAGGGCCCGGUCGAGCCGCCGAGGCGUCCACCAGGCCCACUCCAGCGUCCAGGCCACCAGCCACAGCAGCGCCACGGACGCCGCCGCGCCGGCCAGCGCCCACGGAGAGGUUUCGCGAAGCAUCAGCAGAACGCGG
Molecule: long non-coding RNA, 5771 nt
Filed under: Sorghum bicolor (sorghum)
Lineage: Eukaryota; Viridiplantae; Streptophyta; Magnoliopsida; Poales; Poaceae
Description: long non-coding RNA (SBIC_LNC005561)
Source: RNAcentral